This 449-nucleotide ribosomal RNA is filed under the name uncultured bacterium. Its description in RNAcentral is "bacterial SSU rRNA". It matches the Rfam family "Bacterial small subunit ribosomal RNA", at positions 30 to 507 of the family's 1533-position model. The record is from RNAcentral.
AUUGAACGCUGGCGGCAUGGCUAAGACAUGCAAGUCGAACGGUCAACGCGAUCUUCGGAUCGUUAGUAAGUGGCGAAAGGGCGAGUAAUGCGUUCCUAUGUACCCCGAGGUCGAGGAUAGCCCAGGGAAACUUGGAGUAAUACUCGAUGUGGUGCUUCGGCAUCAAAGGCUUGCCGCCUUGGGAGCGGGGAACGUCCUAUCAGGUUGUUGGUGAGGUAAAGGCUCACCAAGCCGAAGACGGGUAGCGGGUGUGAGAGCAUGACCCGCCGCAUCGGGACUGAGACACUGCCCGGACUCCUACGGGAGGCUGCAGUAACGAAUAUUCCGCAAUGCGCGAAAGCGUGACGGAGCAAUGCCGCGUGCAGGAUGAAGCCCUUCGGGGUGUAAACUGCUGUCAGGGGCUACCAACACAAUGAGGACCCCCAAAGGAAGGGCCGGCUAACUUCGUG